UACGAAGGGGGCUAGCGUUGCUCGGAAUCACUGGGCGUAAAGCGCACGUAGGCGGCUUCUUAAGUCAGGGGUGAAAUCCUGGAGCUCAACUCCAGAACUGCCUUUGAUACUGGAAAGCUUGAGUUCGGGAGAGGUGAGUGGAACUGCGAGUGUAGAGGUGAAAUUCGUAGAUAUUCGCAAGAACACCAGUGGCGAAGGCGGCUCACUGGCCCGAUACUGACGCUGAGGUGCGAAAGCGUGGGGAGCAAACAGG
RNAcentral lists this ribosomal RNA (253 nucleotides) under uncultured bacterium. RNAcentral describes it as "partial 16S ribosomal RNA". It matches the Rfam family "Bacterial small subunit ribosomal RNA", at positions 524 to 776 of the family's 1533-position model. The record is from RNAcentral.